GAUGAACGCUAGCUACAGGCUUAACACAUGCAAGUCGAGGGGUUUCAAAGGAGCUUGCUCCUGCGGAACGACCGGCGCACGGGUGCGUAACGCGUAUCCAACCUUCCCGUUACUCUUGGAUAGCCUUCCGAAAGGGAGAUUAAUACAAGAUGGUAUUCAAAUUCCGCAUGUUAUUUGAAUUAAAGAUUUAUCGGUAACGGAUGGGGAUGCGUGACAUUAGGUAGAUGGCGGGGUAACGGCCCACCAUGCCUACGAUGUCUAGGGGUUCUGAGAGGAAGGUCCCCCACACUGGAACUGAGACACGGUCCAGACUCCUACGGGAGGCAGCAGUGAGGAAUAUUGCACAAUGGGGGAAACCCUGAUGCAGCGACGCCGCGUGAGUGAAGAAGUAUUUCGGUAUGUAAAGCUCUAUCAGCAGGGAAGAAAAAUGACGGUAACCUGACUAAGAAGCCCCCGGCUAACUACGUG
This 468-nucleotide ribosomal RNA is filed under the name uncultured bacterium. RNAcentral describes it as "bacterial SSU rRNA". It matches the Rfam family "Bacterial small subunit ribosomal RNA", at positions 28 to 507 of the family's 1533-position model. The record is from RNAcentral.